UUUUCGGAGAGUUUGAUCCUGGCUCAGGACGAACGCUGGCGGCGUGCCUAAUACAUGCAAGUCGAGCGGACAGAAGGGAGCUUGCUCCCGGAUGUUAGCGGCGGACGGGUGAGUAACACGUGGGUAACCUGCCUGUAAGAUUGGGAUAACUCCGGGAAACCGGAGCUAAUACCGGAUAGUUCCUUGAACCGCAUGGUUCAAGGAUGAAAGACGGUUUCGGCUGUCACUUACAGAUGGACCCGCGGCGCAUUAGCUAGUUGGUGGGGUAAUGGCUCACCAAGGCGACGAUGCGUAGCCGACCUGAGAGGGUGAUCGGCCACACUGGGACUGAGACACGGCCCAGACUCCUACGGGAGGCAGCAGUAGGGAAUCUUCCGCAAUGGACGAAAGUCUGACGGAGCAACGCCGCGUGAGUGAUGA
Molecule: ribosomal RNA, 420 nt
Filed under: Bacillus pumilus
Lineage: Bacteria; Bacillati; Bacillota; Bacilli; Caryophanales; Bacillaceae
Description: bacterial SSU rRNA
Rfam family: Bacterial small subunit ribosomal RNA
Source: RNAcentral